GAUGAACGCUGGCGGCGUGCCUAAUACAUGCAAGUCGAGCGAACGGACGAGAAGCUUGCUUCUCUGAUGUUAGCGGCGGACGGGUGAGUAACACGUGGAUAACCUACCUAUAAGACUGGGAUAACUUCGGGAAACCGGAGCUAAUACCGGAUAAUAUUUUGAACCGCAUGGUUCAAAAGUGAAAGACGGUCUUGCUGUCACUUAUAGAUGGAUCCGCGCUGCAUUAGCUAGUUGGUAAGGUAACGGCUUACCAAGGCAACGAUGCAUAGCCGACCUGAGAGGGUGAUCGGCCACACUGGAACUGAGACACGGUCCAGACUCCUACGGGAGGCAGCAGUAGGGAAUCUUCCGCAAUGGGCGAAAGCCUGACGGAGCAACGCCGCGUGAGUGAUGAAGGUCUUCGGAUCGUAAAACUCUGUUAUUAGGGAAGAACAUAUGUGUAAGUAACUGUGCACAUCUUGACGGUACCUAAUCAGAAAGCCACGGCUAACUACGUGCCAGCAGCCGCGGUAAUACGUAGGUGGCAAGCGUUAUCCGGAAUUAUUGGGCGUAAAGCGCGCGUAGGCGGUUUUUUAAGUCUGAUGUGAAAGCCCACGGCUCAACCGUGGAGGGUCAUUGGAAACUGGAAAACUUGAGUGCAGAAGAGGAAAGUGGAAUUCCAUGUGUAGCGGUGAAAUGCGCAGAGAUAUGGAGGAACACCAGUGGCGAAGGCGACUUUCUGGCCUGUAACUGACGCUGAUGUGCGAAAGCGUGGGGAUCAAACAGGAUUAGAUACCCUGGUAGUCCACGCCGUAAACGAUGAGUGCUAAGUGUUAGGGGGUUUCCGCCCCUUAGUGCUGCAGCUAACGCAUUAAGCACUCCGCCUGGGGAGUACGACCGCAAGGUUGAAACUCAAAGGAAUUGACGGGGACCCGCACAAGCGGUGGAGCAUGUGGUUUAAUUCGAAGCAACGCGAAGAACCUUACCAAAUCUUGACAUCCUUUGACAACUCUAGAGAUAGAGCUUUCCCCUUCGGGGGACAAAGUGACAGGUGGUGCAUGGUUGUCGUCAGCUCGUGUCGUGAGAUGUUGGGUUAAGUCCCGCAACGAGCGCAACCCUUAAGCUUAGUUGCCAUCAUUAAGUUGGGCACUCUAAGUUGACUGCCGGUGACAAACCGGAGGAAGGUGGGGAUGACGUCAAAUCAUCAUGCCCCUUAUGAUUUGGGCUACACACGUGCUACAAUGGACAAUACAAAGGGCAGCGAAACCGCGAGGUCAAGCAAAUCCCAUAAAGUUGUUCUCAGUUCGGAUUGUAGUCUGCAACUCGACUACAUGAAGCUGGAAUCGCUAGUAAUCGUAGAUCAGCAUGCUACGGUGAAUACGUUCCCGGGUCU
This 1372-nucleotide ribosomal RNA is filed under the name uncultured bacterium. RNAcentral's name for it is "bacterial SSU rRNA". It matches the Rfam family "Bacterial small subunit ribosomal RNA", at positions 28 to 1381 of the family's 1533-position model. The record is from RNAcentral.